AUUGAACGCUGGCGGCAGGCCUAACACAUGCAAGUCGUACGAGUGGCGGACGGGUGAGUAAUGUCUGGGAAACUGCCUGCUGGAGGGGGAUAACUACUGGAAAAGGUAGCUAAUACCGCAUACCAUCGGAUGUGCCCAGAUGGGAUUAGCUAGUAGGUGGGGUAAAGGCUCACCUAGGCUACGAUCCCUAGCUGGUAUGAGAGGAUGACCAGCCACACUGGAAUGUAGCCACGGUCCAGACUCCUACGUGAGGCAGCAGUGGGGAAUAUUGCACGAUGGGCGUAAGUCUGAUGCUGCCAGGCCGAGUGUAGGAAGAAGGCCUUCGGGUUGUAAAGUACUUUCAUCGGGGAGGCGUUACCCGCAGAAGAAUCACCGGCUAACUCCGUGCCAGCAGCCGCGGUAAUUC
RNAcentral lists this ribosomal RNA (406 nucleotides) under uncultured bacterium. Its description in RNAcentral is "partial 16S ribosomal RNA". It matches the Rfam family "Bacterial small subunit ribosomal RNA", at positions 30 to 526 of the family's 1533-position model. The record is from RNAcentral.